This is a long non-coding RNA of Hippocampus zosterae (dwarf seahorse), 787 nucleotides long. RefSeq lists it as uncharacterized. NCBI's taxonomy places the organism in Eukaryota, Metazoa, Chordata, Actinopteri, Syngnathiformes, Syngnathidae. The record is from RefSeq and is a predicted model, not a curated record. The transcript is spliced from 2 exons.
CAACGCAAUAGCCAAGCGCUAACGGGGGCGCUCACGGGGCACCGCGGACAUGUAUUUGAGCGGACUAACGAUGCCGCGUCUUCACCGGAGCAAGAUGUCGAGGCGCUGGUGGCCAUCUUACGUUGCCGAACUUGAGCUGUCUCGACUGCCCUGCGUGCAUAUUUUGUCAGUAUGAACGUGACGUAAAAUUUCCUUCUUAUCGCGUCUCUCCGAGUACUACUCAAAAGAUUUCGUCUGCAUCACGUUGUCACAACCGCCAUCGGGGAAACAAUUGCUGCGGAAUGUAAGCCGAUCCUCUGAGGGCACAAUUCGCCGUAGUGAGCUAAUGUACUCUGAAUGUUUGAUGCUAACAGUCAAGGUGGGGUCCCGGUAUAAAACACGCAGGGAGAACGGCGUUUUCAGCCAAAUCCCAACAGAUGGGUCAGUCACGAUGGCAACGCAAGAUGGCUGACCUCUGACUUCAGCUGCGAGGGGCCAGCUGUUGGGCCAUCACAAUGAAAUCCAGGCAGGGCGCUAAUCGGGUGCUAACAGCGCGCCAGUUUGCAGGUCAACCGCUACACUGGAUGCUAACAGUGUGCUAAUCUGUCCAUGUUGUCUCUGAAGGGGGGGGUGGGGGGUUCAGGGGAGAGAGAGAGAGAGAGACGCAAGACGGGAAAGAUCCCACCCAAUCCAAACAAUAACAUGACCACAAUCACGGGAGCGAGGCGCUCAUAUUGAAAAUUGCCGGCAGGCUUAUUAGACGCUUGAUUAAACUUUCUUCUUUGCGGCGUCGCCGUGACCUAUUAAA